AAACGACAUCGAAAGCUUGCUUUUGAUGGGCGUCGACCGGCGCACGGGUGAGUAACGCGUAUCCAACCUGCCCACCACUUGGGGAUAACCUUGCGAAAGUAAGACUAAUACCCAAUGAUAUCUCUAGAAGACAUCUGAAAGAGAUUAAAGAUUUAUCGGUGAUGGAUGGGGAUGCGUCUGAUUAGCUUGUUGGCGGGGUAACGGCCCACCAAGGCGACGAUCAGUAGGGGUUCUGAGAGGAAGGUCCCCCACAUUGGAACUGAGACACGGUCCAAACUCCUACGGGAGGCAGCAGUGAGGAAUAUUGGUCAAUGGACGAGAGUCUGAACCAGCCAAAGUAGCGUGCAGGAUGACGGCCCUAUGGGUUGUAAACUGCUUUUAUAAGGGAAUAAAGUGAGUCUCGUGAGACUUUUUGCAUGUACCUUAUGAAUAAGGACCGGCUAAUUCCGUGCCAGCAGCCGCGGUAAUACGGAAGGUCCGGGCGUUAUCCGGAUUUAUUGGGUUUAAAGGGAGCGUAGGCCGGAGAUUAAGCGUGUUGUGAAAUGUAGGCGCUCAACGUCUGCACUGCAGCGCGAACUGGUUUCCUUGAGUACGCACAAAGUGGGCGGAAUUCGUGGUGUAGCGGUGAAAUGCUUAGAUAUCACGAAGAACUCCGAUUGCGAAGGCAGCUCACUGGAGCGCAACUGACGCUGAAGCUCGAAAGUGCGGGUAUCGAACAGGAUUAGAUACCCUGGUAGUCCGCACGGUAAACGAUGGAUGCCCGCUGUUGGUCUGAAUAGGUCAGCGGCC
Molecule: ribosomal RNA, 789 nt
Filed under: uncultured bacterium
Lineage: Bacteria
Description: bacterial SSU rRNA
Rfam family: Bacterial small subunit ribosomal RNA
Source: RNAcentral